This 383-nucleotide ribosomal RNA is filed under the name Staphylococcus epidermidis NIHLM067. RNAcentral's name for it is "bacterial SSU rRNA". It matches the Rfam family "Bacterial small subunit ribosomal RNA", at positions 1157 to 1533 of the family's 1533-position model. The record is from RNAcentral. Lineage: Bacteria; Bacillati; Bacillota; Bacilli; Caryophanales; Staphylococcaceae.
GACAAACCGGAGGAAGGUGGGAUGACGUCAAAUCAUCAUGCCCCUUAUGAUUUGGGCUACACACGUGCUACAAUGGACAAUACAAAGGGCAGCGAAACCGCGAGGUCAAGCAAAUCCCAUAAAGUUGUUCUCAGUUCGGAUUGUAGUCUGCAACUCGACUAUAUGAAGCUGGAAUCGCUAGUAAUCGUAGAUCAGCAUGCUACGGUGAAUACGUUCCCGGGUCUUGUACACACCGCCCGUCACACCACGAGAGUUUGUAACACCCGAAGCCGGUGGAGUAACCAUUUGGAGCUAGCCGUCGAAGGUGGGACAAAUGAUUGGGGUGAAGUCGUAACAAGGUAGCCGUAUCGGAAGGUGCGGCUGGAUCACCUCCUUUCUAAGGA